AUUACACUACCUAAAAUUUCAAACCCAACUUAGAAACUCUCCUAUGGUCAAGCAAGGAAAAAAUGAACCAGUAAGACCAAAUAGAGAGGCGGCUCUUACACAUGGACAUACAAGUACAACAUGUAACCAGCUACUUCAUACUCAUAUAUCUAGGACUGACCCUAUUUGCAGCUCUGCAAAUGCCAAAAAUUUCAUUGCAGAAGCUACCUAAGACACCAAAAUAAAAAGAAAAUUGACCAAAAAGAUUACAUAAUAAUUGAAACUUAGAGGGCAGUCCAGUCAAUCUCCAACGAAGGGUACUUCUCCAAACUAAAAUUCUC
RNAcentral lists this unclassified non-coding RNA (320 nucleotides) under Hevea brasiliensis (rubber tree). Lineage: Eukaryota; Viridiplantae; Streptophyta; Magnoliopsida; Malpighiales; Euphorbiaceae. The record is from RNAcentral.